AAUUCAAAUUAAUCCUUUUUUUAAAAGAAAUUAGCUGAUACUUAAUUAAUCUCCCGCUAAUGGACCGCUCUGUUUUCCGUGCGGAGAGAUGGGGUUCCCAUCCCUACUAUCGGCACACAGCCAAAUGGAUUGAAACAUUUUGGAGAGAAACUAGAGCACGUUAUCCCAUCCGAACAGCAUAGUUUAAGGGGGUGUUUGGGAGAGAGAGACUUAUGGUUUUGAGUUUAGCCCUCUCUCCCAAACACCCCAUAAGUUGUUGAUGAUGUCAAGGCUCUUUCGCGUGACCAGUCCUGUAUCAUUUUGAUAGAUGGGACGACUACAGAGCUAGGCCACAUGCUCUGACAUGCCUAUGUGCUAGGUAGCUAGGAUGGAGUUGUGUCAAUAAUCAAUAUGCAAUGGAUAGAUGGUCUGAACUAUUUCUUUAUUUUUUUCUAAAGUAGGGAAUGAGAGCUAGUCUGACCAAUUAGGUUGAGUCACCUGGAUUCAUACAUGUGAUGAUUCUAAUAUUUGGAGAUACAUUUCAUGUCUAUUUGUAUCAAACUUGCUGCAGGUGCUUUGGGUAUUUGGGCCGAGUUUAGUUCUAAACUUUUUCUUCAAACUUUCAACUUUUCUAUCACAUCAAAACUUUCCUACACACAUAAACUUCCAACUUUUCCGUCAUAUCGUUCCAAUUUCAACCAAAUUUCUAAUUUUGGUGUGAACUAAACACACCCUUGACAUGGUAAUUAUGUCCUAGAUAUGGUACCCACAAGUAUCGAACUUGGUUACUAGGUAUCGGAAAUGGUAUCCACAGGUAUCAGACCUGAGGCCUCAUAUAUGAUACCAUAAGUAAGAGACUUGGUUACUAGGUAGAUAUACCGUAGGUACCGGAUGUGGUGUAUCCACGAGUAUCAGACCUGAUACCUAGGUAUCGGAUGUGAUAUCCACGAGUAUCAGACUAGGUACGUAGGUAUCGAACAUGGUACCUAUAGGUAUCAAACAUGAUAUUGUAUCGGAUAUGGUACCUUGAUAUAUAUCAGAGAUUGUAAUAUAGGUAUAUUAUCACAAAUUUAUAAUGUUUGGUACCUAGGUACCGAUUAAUUGAGAUGAAAAUUAAAAAGUUUCAUCUAAAAAAAAUUAAAAAAUAGGAAAGAAAAGGGGAAAAUUUAGUGACUUUCCCCUCAUCUGUACUGCUUAAAUAAUAGUACACCGUAACAAAUUUCUAAAACAAAUUGGUAGCUGCAUGCCAAGGGUCCAUUUUAUAUGUGGACAUCAUGCGAAAUCCGGAGGGUCCACGUUAAUUAUCUCAUCCGCACAUACUCAACAUGGGCCCCACUUCUCAUCAUAUUUUAUCUUCCCGAGCUAUCCGUAUGAUAAGUGGGAAGUUACUUGUAAUUUGUGAGAACGCAUGUGUCAGAUCACAUGCAAGCAGGGAGCAUGUUCCAUUAACUAUACCGUGCAAAACGGAAGAUGCUGAGCCUAAUUUCUUCGGAUAGACAGUGGAAACUGAACUAAAUCCUCGUGAAGUUCAUCGGAAUCGGCUUUGGCGUUUCUGCAUCCAAACAUGAUCCUGGUUAAUUACCUCGUGAUGUGGGCAACUGUAAUAUGGCCUCCUGCUGGCUUGUCUUCCUGGCAACUCCCAAACCCAUGUAAUUGAAGCAAAGCUAACUUGGAGCAUUGUCUCAGUAGAUUUGCUUCCUCACAGUGACCAUGGAGAUUUUGUCGAUUGUGAAUUUUGGUAGGAAGCGAUGCGUUUGUUAGUAUUUUUUUCACCACCCCAGCACACGUUACCACUAACUAUAAUGUGGAUUUACUGUUGGUAAAAGGUAUCAAUGACACAUGAAGUUUAGUGGGCAAAAUAGGCAUAUAUUUUUGCACAAUAGAAGUAUGGUUAAUAUCGCUUCAAUGCUGUUUCUUGUACUUCUAUAUAUUAUUAUUAGUACCAGCUUCUGUUCUUGGAGAGCUUUUAGUUCUGAGUAACUUAUUUCCAGUGACCAGUUCACUUAGCAAGCACAUGGUAAUUUCCAGAUCAAAAUGUAGCAGUGUAUUCUUGAUCUGUAGCCCGGCCUAUAAAUGCAUUAUUUCUUGGAUAAAACAAGUAUAACUUUCCCUAUGAUGUUCAAGAUAUUGCUAACCUUGAGUAAGGCAUGGUGUUGCACACAAGAAUGAUGGUGAUAUGGCAGGGAAUAGAGCUCAAUUGCCAUUACUGCGGCAUCACAUAUCAAAGGAGGAACAUAGUCAAUGGCUGAAUUGUGGAACAAGCUCAGGGUAUUUUUGUAAGCUAGUUGGAGCCAAUUCAAUUGGAUUAGUUAUCUUAUUUUGUUAACAAGUUGUUAUGAUUAAGCUCUACCUAAGAGAGCACAACUUGAUCAAUCGAUAAGCAGGAACAUCUCCUCAUCCUCUUUUCCA
This is a non-coding RNA of Oryza sativa Japonica Group (Japanese rice), 2388 nucleotides long. Lineage: Eukaryota; Viridiplantae; Streptophyta; Magnoliopsida; Poales; Poaceae. The record is from RefSeq and is a predicted model, not a curated record.